This is a long non-coding RNA of Xiphophorus hellerii (green swordtail), 878 nucleotides long. RefSeq lists it as uncharacterized. Lineage: Eukaryota; Metazoa; Chordata; Actinopteri; Cyprinodontiformes; Poeciliidae. The transcript is spliced from 2 exons. The record is from RefSeq and is a predicted model, not a curated record.
UAUGCCGUCAGUCCCUGUAGGCUUCACUGAAGUCAAACUUUCAGUUUCAUCUGCAGCCUCCUCUUCACGUGCAGUUUAUCUAAAAAGGGUGCAGCCACAGACCUGCAGAGCUGGAUGCAGACAUGAAUGUAAAAUACUCAUCAGUACCUAUGUACACAUAUCUGUAAAGUGUCCAAAAUAUCAUGCAAGUAAAUACAGGUCAUUUAAAGUAAAUCAAUGCCUCAGUCAACAUUGUGCUGUAGGCUGCAAAGUUCCUCAAACUCAGUUUCCCGUAAGUUACAGCAGACCCACAGAAGAUCUUUGUUCUCCAAGUUCCCGUCAUGCUAUGAUCCAGAAGAGAUGCAAAACAGUCUGUUUUGGUUAAGUAGAUAUUUGUUCAUUUAAUUCAGUCACUCCUAACUGAUAUGCAAAUCUUUCCAGUAGGUGUUUAACAUACAAACUGAGUGUGUGUUGAUGGGAUUAAGUAGAAAUCUAGAGUCUAUUCUUUAAUUUAAGACGGAACCACAGUGUAGAAAUCAAUGAGACAAAGCAGGACGGCAGCAAGGUUCUGUCCAUCAGAGAAUUUCAGGGGUUUUCUGCAGAGCGUCCGCUUGCUGUGCUUUUUCACAACUGUGCUCCUUUUAAAAAUGUCAAUGUCCACGAUGAGCAUCUUUUAAUAUUCCUAGGACCUUUUAAAGCUGGACUGCUCCAAUUCUUCAGGGUGUCUUUCACGCUGAAUGUCCACAGCUGAGAUUCAAUGCUGUAAUCCAAAAUGACGAGUGCAGCAAGGCACUGCAAGGUAGAACACCAGGCUGACAAAGAAAAACAUUGGUUUACAAGUACGUUUUUGAAAAGUCUUUUAAAAUACACCCCAGGUAAGUCAGCAGCCAGAAAAAAAA